Homo sapiens (human) is the source of this 3186-nucleotide long non-coding RNA. Ensembl annotates it as small nucleolar RNA host gene 14. Its record names the gene SNHG14. Lineage: Eukaryota; Metazoa; Chordata; Mammalia; Primates; Hominidae. The record is from Ensembl.
GGAUCGAUGAUGAGUCCCCUAUAAAAACAUUCCUUGGAAAAGCUGAACAAAAUGAGUGAGAACUCAUAACGUCAUUCUCAUCGGAACUGAGGUCCAGCAUGUUGCUUCCUCUGGGGCCUGUAGGAGUGAGGGACAACUUCCACUGAUUCCCAUAGGUUCCACCACCCAGGGCAUCCACAGACAAAAGUCUCGUGUCACAGGUACGCCUCACCUGAGAGGGCGGCUAGAGACAGUGUCUGCUCAGGACAUCAGAUGUCCCGUGAGGAGGAGUGUGUACUCACACCAGGGGAGUUGACUGAGGCAGUUGCUGUGGGAGGUGUGGUAACUGCUGGAAGGAAGAUGCUCAAUUCUUCUGAGCAACGAAGGCCACACGGAGUCCUGGAUUCUGUGUGGCCUGGCAUCCAUGGCGCACUGUGUGCUGGCAGGUGGCUCAGGACGGUAAGCAUUUCUCUGCCCAGUAUGCUGAAUGAGGGUGUCUUUCGGAUUUCCAAGACCCGCAAGGAGCAGUUUCUCAGCUAACCACUAAUGGCAUGGCGAGUUCCUCUCCUAGAGUGGAUAGUCUGUGCUCAUUGCUCAGUGGCAUCGCUCUAGUGGGGCCGAAGGUCUUUAAGGUCAUUGGCUCACCCACUGCCCAGCCUGUGGUGUCAAAUAUCCUGCCCCUUGCCCCUUCAAAUGUGCUUGGAUCGAUGAUGAGUCCCCAAAAAAAACAUUCCUUGGAAAAGCUGAACAAAAUGAGUGAAAACUCAUACCGUCAUUCUCAUCGGAACUGAGGUCCAGCACGUUGCCUUCCCCGGGGACUGUAGGAGUGAGGGACAACUUCCACUGAUUCCCAUAGGUUCCACCACCCAAGGCAUCCACAGCCAAAGUCUCCCAUCAAAUGCUCAUUAGGAACAUUCCCUUUUUGUGAGGUACACAGGUAGGAGAGUCCUGGGGGGAACGGCUGCUCUGUGAUGGCCUGGUGGCCAUGGAAGCAGACAGAAAUAUCGCAGGCCUAGGGUAGUGUGCGCCUGAUCUUGGCUUGGUGAGCUCCUAGGAAGGGAGACGCGGACCUCGUGGCAGGCGUCUCUGAGCAGAGGACUGAGUCCUUGUUUUCUUGCCGGGGAGAGCACAAGGCCCAGGCCUCAGGCAGAUGUUGGUCCUGAUUUUUGAUUAGCUGAGGACAAGGGAGUGCCAAGGGUGAUGGGGGACAGUGUAUAACAAAGGGUGUUGUGACAGAGAGCCAAAGCCUCUUUGGCCCUCCACCCAGCAUCCAGUCAUGGAGGCCCCCCAGCAGGGAUUUCUUCAUCCCCUGAGCCGUGAGAUGCCCCUGGUGCUAUGGUGGAAGCCUGGACUGGAAGUGGGCUCCACUGUUGGGCACAUCUUCCUGGAAGUCGUCUCUUGGCCCGCCAUUGCCGAGCGGCCACACCUGCUGCAGCUCGUGUGAGCAAAUAUGGCUCUGGAUCCUCUUUCCUGCUUUGAAAGCAGCUUCCAUCCUGAAGGCGUCCAGAGGGGGCAGUUAUCAUGGGACACCCGCCAUAUGCUGGCAAGGAAGAUGGUCAGUUCUUCUGAGCCACAAAGGCCCCCAACAUCCUGGAGUUGGUGUUGCCUAGCAUCCACGGUGCGCCCCCUGCUGGUGGAUGGCUCAGGAUGGUAAGCAUUCCUCCGCCGCACAUGCUGAGUGGGGGUGGGAUUUCCAAGACCUGCAAGGAGCUGUUUCUCAGCAGGCCACUGAUGGCAUGGCGAGUUCCACUCCUAAAGUGAACGGUCUGUGCCCAUUGUUCAGUGGUGCAGCUCUGGCUUCCCCAGCGUGCGGAGGGUUUUUAAGGUCAUCGGCUUGCCCACUGCCCAGCCUGUGGUGUCAAAUAUCCUGCCCCUUCAAAUGUGCUUGGAUCGAUGAUGAGUCCCCCAUAAAAACAUUCCUUGGAAAAGCUGAACAAAAUGAGUGAGAACUCAUACCGUCGUUCUCAUCGGAACUGAGGUCCAGCACAUUGCCUCCCCCGGGGACUGUAGGAGCGAGGGACAACUUCCACUGGUUCCCAGAGGUUCUACCACUCAGGGCGUCCAUGGAUGAAAGUCUCACAUCACAGGCACAAUAGAAAUAUUCCCUCUGUGUGAGGGGCAGUUGCCGUGGGAGGCCCGCUGCCUGCUGGAAGGAAGAUGGUCAGUUCUUCUGAACCACAAAGGCCCUGCAGAGUCCUGGAGUCUGUGUGGCCUGGCUUCCAGGGUUCACCUCAUGCUGGUGGAUUGCUCAGGAUGGGUGCCGAAGGUCUUUAAGGUCGUCAGCUCACCUACUGCCCAGCCUGUGGUGUCAAAUGUCCUGCCUCUUCAAAUGUGUUUGGAUCGAUGAUGAGUCCCCCCAAAAAAACAUUCCUUGGAAAAGCUGAACAAAAUGAGUGAAAACUCAUACCGUCGUUCUCAGCGGAACUGAGGUCCAGCGCGUUGCCUCCAGCAGGGACUGUUGGAGUGAGGGAGAGCUUCCACUAGUCCCUAUAGGUUCCACCACCCAGGGCAUCCGCAGGGACAGUUGCCGUGGGAGGUCCGCUGCCUGCUGUCAAGGAAGAUGGUCGAUGCUUCUGAGAAACAGGCCCUGCGGGUUCCUGGAUUUGGUGUGGCCUGGCAUCCACGGUGCACCCCGUGCUGGCGGGUGGCCCAGGACGGGGCAGUUGCCUUGAGAGGCCCACCGCCUGCUGGCAUGACAGAUGGUCAGUUCUUCCGAGCAGUGGAAUCUCCAUGGAGUCGUGGAGUCGGUGUGGCCUCGCAUCCACAGUGCACCCUGUGCUGGUGGAUGGCUCAGGACAGGGCAGUUGCCGUGGGAGGCCUGCCGUCUGCUGAAAGGAAGAUGGUUGAUGCUUCUGAGCAAUGAAGGCCCCAUGGAGUCCUGGAUUCGGUGUGGCCUUGCAUCCGUGGUGCACCCCGUGCUGGUGGAUGGCUCAGGACGGUAAGCAUUCCUCUGCCCCGCAUGAUGACUGAGGGUGUCUUUAGGAUUUCUGAGACCCACAAGGAGCAGUUCUUCAGCAGGCCAUUAAGGGCAUGGCUGUGGUCUUUAAAGUCAUUGGCUCACCCACUGCCCAGCCUGUGGUGUCAAAUGUCCUGCCUCUUCAAAUGUGCUUGGAUCGAUGAUGAGUCCUCCAAAAAAACAUUCCUUGGAAAAGCUGAACAAAAUGAGUGAGAACUCAUACCGUCGUUCUCAUCGGAACUGAGGUCCAG